CAGUAGCCGCGGUAAUACAGAGGGUGCGAGCGUUAAUCGGAUUUACUGGGCGUAAAGCGUGCGUAGGCGGCUUUUUAAGUCGGAUGUGAAAUCCCUGAGCUUAACUUAGGAAUUGCAUUCGAUACUGGGAAGCUAGAGUAUGGGAGAGGAUGGUAGAAUUCCAGGUGUAGCGGUGAAAUGCGUAGAGAUCUGGAGGAAUACCGAUGGCGAAGGCAGCCAUCUGGCCUAAUACUGACGCUCAUGCACGAAAGCGUGGGGAGCAAACAGGAUUAGAUACCCCUGUAGUCCCUGUCUCUUAUAC
RNAcentral lists this ribosomal RNA (301 nucleotides) under uncultured bacterium. RNAcentral describes it as "partial 16S ribosomal RNA". It matches the Rfam family "Bacterial small subunit ribosomal RNA", at positions 509 to 807 of the family's 1533-position model. The record is from RNAcentral.